Long non-coding RNA from Ochotona princeps (American pika), 373 nucleotides. RefSeq lists it as uncharacterized. The record is from RefSeq and is a predicted model, not a curated record. The transcript is spliced from 3 exons. NCBI's taxonomy places the organism in Eukaryota, Metazoa, Chordata, Mammalia, Lagomorpha, Ochotonidae.
CCAGGACUUUGCUGGACCAGCAACUCGGGGCACAGAAAGAGAUUCGCUUUCCUGAAGGGCUUCCAAGUUGGGCACUGGGAGUUCUAGGAUUGGAGGCCAUUUUUCAGGAUGACUCAGGAGCUCCUGGAGAGAGGAGGACUCAGGUCUCACACAGCACUGACUUCAGCGGAAACACACGAGGCAGCCUUGAACUUCAUCGCCCACCCAUUCUGCUCACUGCUGGACCCUACUGCACGCUGCACCUCCUUGGAACCCCCGUUUCCACUCUUAGCUCAUGACUGAGAGAUGGAAACCAUCGGGAGAGAAUGCUGCUGUCCCCUCCCAGCCACCCACCUGUCCUCACCACACCACACAACCAGAUCCUAAAAUAUAU